RNAcentral lists this transfer RNA (64 nucleotides) under Crenidorsum sp. Its description in RNAcentral is "tRNA-Asp". Lineage: Eukaryota; Metazoa; Arthropoda; Insecta; Hemiptera; Aleyrodidae. The record is from RNAcentral.
AAAAAUUUAGUUAAUAAUAUAACAUUAGUUUGUCAAACUAAAAUAACUUACUAAGUAUUUUUUG